GUGGAAUUGCCUAGCCCAAAGGCAGGCAGCAUAGAAGUCUGCUUUGUCAUCAAGGAGGGAAGAUGCUCACUAGGGUUCUUGGCACAACUUUAAAGCCACAAAGAACUUGUCAAAGACUGCUGAACAGCUAUGAAAAUGUGGAAACAAACACUCCUGGUGAAUGAAUAAGCUCACCAAUUUGGAACAGGUUUCAAAAGACAAAACUCAGCAUUUCUUGUUGAGCAUGGCAUAUAUUACAGAGGGUCCCACCCCAAAAAAAGAAAGUCAAGUUCUUGGAGUAUAAGAUUUAGGCAUAUGUUUAGAAAUGAAGAACUAGGUGUGGUUGAAGGAGAAGAGGAUGGAAGUGGAGAUAUUUAAAAUGUAAAGGUGCUUGUGGG
Molecule: long non-coding RNA, 377 nt
Organism: Myotis myotis
Lineage: Eukaryota; Metazoa; Chordata; Mammalia; Chiroptera; Vespertilionidae
Exons: 4
Source: RefSeq, a predicted model, not a curated record